This 497-nucleotide ribosomal RNA is filed under the name uncultured bacterium. RNAcentral describes it as "partial 16S ribosomal RNA". It matches the Rfam family "Bacterial small subunit ribosomal RNA", at positions 28 to 507 of the family's 1533-position model. The record is from RNAcentral.
GAUGAACGCUGGCGGCGUGCCUAAUACAUGCAAGUCGAGCGAACGGACGAGAAGCUUGCUUUUCUGAUGUUAGCGGCGGACGGGUGAGUAACACGUGGAUCACCUACCUAUAAGACUGGGAUAACUUCGUGAAACCGGAGCUAAUACCGGAUAAUAUUUUGAACCGCAUGGUUCAAAAGUGAAAGACGGUCUUGCUGUCACUUAUAGAUGGAUCCGCGCUGCAUUAGCUAGUUGGUAAGGUAACGGCUUACCAAGGCAACGAUGCAUAGCCGACCUGAGAGGGUGAUCAGCCACACUGGAACUGAGACACGGUCCAGACUCCUACGGGAGGCAGCAGUAGGGAAUCUUCCGCAAUGGGCGAAAGCCUGACGGAGCAACGCCGCGUGAGUGAUGAAGGUCUUCGGAUCGUAAAGCUCUGUUAUUAGGGAAGAACAUAUGUGGAAGUAACUGUGCACAUCUUGACGGUACCUAAUCAGAAAGCAACGGCUAACUACGUG